UCGCUUUUUUGUAGGCUGGGGCAAAGUGCUGGGGGUGCAGUAAAUAAAGGGGGUGAAGAGGAUGUGGGACUCGUGGUAAUUAAGAGGAGGGGAACGGCAAGUCAGUUCAUUUCUUCCUUCUCUCUCUAUUCUUCUCUGUCAAAUCUGAAGAUCUGCAGCGGAACGAAGAAAUCGAUGUGCUCCUCCACGGCCAGCGAGAGAACAGGCGGUGCUGCUGAUGGAAUAAGAGAUGGUUUGCACAGUUUGUCUGAGCCCUUGUUGACCGCGAGAGCAGGGGAAGCGGCAUCAGUAUGUAUGUCUGGAAGGAGUUCAAGAAGGGAGGGGGUUGUUACAUGCAAUGAAAGGGUUUGUUCCGACAACCUGACGGGAGAUAGGUUGACAUUCAAGGCAAACAAACAUACAUACACUGUGAAGUGUCACAAGGGGCGCAAGCAGAGUGCAUUGUAUGGGAGAGGGUGGAGAAAGUUUGUUGCACACAACAAGCUGGGGAAGGGUCAGAUGGUUUUGUUCUACUUGGACCAACAUUCACCAAGGGCGGUUGUUUGCGUGGUCUAGUUUGGAAACACUGAAGAUGUUAGGGGGAGGAUCAAGAAUGGUGUGCCCAGUUUACCACGCAUACUGCCAAAAUGAAAAUGGUCGGAGAUUCGACAUCUAUGUCUGUGAUGCCAACGGAAUCUUUCCCGCUCUCAUGGAUGCCCACAAGCAGAUUGCACGCAAGAUAGAAACUAAAACCGAGGCCUCCUUGAAAGAAGGAGCAGUUGUUAUGAGUCUUAUCAUCAAUUCUUAUUUUCACACGGGAUCCUAGAGAAGGCUAAAGCUGAAACAAGAGAUUGGCUUAACAGUGUGAUGACCCAACUUUAUACUAACUUUAGUAGAAAGUUGGGUCAUCAAUUUUGGAACGGAGGGAGUACAUUUUUAUGAAUACAGCCACACACAGGUACAAAUAUUGAAGACGAAGACAGAGAGCAGGGUCUUGAAGAUACAAAUUUAGAAGAGAGAGAUCACUGACACUGAAGUAUCAGAGGGUUUGCUGUAUGAAGAAGUUGUGACGUUGUAUGAAGCAUUAGAGAAGGAACCAAGACCUGGCAGAGUUGUUUAGCUACACAAAUGGGCCUUACAUUUUUCUGCUGUCUUUU
RNA transcript from Triticum dicoccoides, 1136 nucleotides. RefSeq lists it as uncharacterized. The transcript is spliced from 7 exons. The record is from RefSeq and is a predicted model, not a curated record. NCBI's taxonomy places the organism in Eukaryota, Viridiplantae, Streptophyta, Magnoliopsida, Poales, Poaceae.